AUGAAAGAACUUAGAAAUGUUAUCUUUGAUAGAAUUCAGGAUAUGGUUGUUGAGAGACUCAUAACAUCUGACUCUAUUGCUUAUGCUGCUAAGUGGGACACUCUCAUAACCUAUGUGGAUACAACUCUGCAAAAUCAAAAGACGUUCACUCAUGAGUCUGUAGCUUCUUAUAGCCAGAAGCCAGAGCACUUGGAGGCUAAAUUGGAUAAUGUAUAUGCUAAUAAAUAG
Molecule: non-coding RNA, 228 nt
Organism: Vicia faba (fava bean)
Lineage: Eukaryota; Viridiplantae; Streptophyta; Magnoliopsida; Fabales; Fabaceae
Source: the annotation of a GenBank genome assembly